RNAcentral lists this ribosomal RNA (528 nucleotides) under uncultured bacterium. RNAcentral's name for it is "partial 16S ribosomal RNA". It matches the Rfam family "Bacterial small subunit ribosomal RNA", at positions 355 to 897 of the family's 1533-position model. The record is from RNAcentral.
UGGGGAAUAUUGCACAAUGGGCGAAAGCCUGAUGCAGCAACGCCGCGUGAGUGAUGAAGGUCUUCGGAUUGUAAAGCUCUGUCCUUUUGGACGAUAAUGACGGUACCAAAGGAGGAAGCCACGGCUAACUACGUGCCAGCAGCCGCGGUAAUACGUAGGUGGCGAGCGUUGUCCGGAUUUACUGGGCGUAAAGGGUGCGUAGGCGGAUGUUUAAGUGAGAUGUGAAAUACCCGGGCUUAACUUGGGUGCUGCAUUUCAAACUGGAUAUCUAGAGUGCAGGAGAGGAGAAUGGAAUUCCUAGUGUAGCGGUGAAAUGCGUAGAGAUUAGGAAGAACACCAGUGGCGAAGGCGAUUCUCUGGACUGUAACUGACGCUGAGGCACGAAAGCGUGGGUAGCAAACAGGAUUAGAUACCCUGGUAGUCCACGCCGUAAACGAUGAGUACUAGGUGUAGGAGGUAUCGACCCCUUCUGUGCCGCAGUAAACACAUUAAGUACUCCGCCUGGGGAAGUACCGAUCGCAAGAUUAA